Molecule: non-coding RNA, 91 nt
Filed under: Lentilactobacillus buchneri
Lineage: Bacteria; Bacillati; Bacillota; Bacilli; Lactobacillales; Lactobacillaceae
Also listed under: 1 other name
Description: Lactobacillus buchneri TPP sequence
Rfam family: TPP riboswitch aptamer (THI element)
About the family: Vitamin B(1) in its active form thiamin pyrophosphate (TPP) is an essential coenzyme that is synthesised by coupling of pyrimidine and thiazole moieties in bacteria. The previously detected thiamin-regulatory element, thi box was extended, resulting in a new, highly conserved RNA secondary structure, the THI element, which is widely distributed in eubacteria and also occurs in some archaea.
Source: RNAcentral
AUACGUGGUCUGGGGUGCCCCAACGGCUGAGAUGAUACCCAUGGAACCUGAUACAGUUAGGACUGUCGCAGGAAGACCGAUCCAAAAUGUU